CCACGCCUUUUUUUAGGGGAAUUGCUUGUGAAAAUAACGUGCGACGACGACUUAGCGAGCGGAUCCCCUUAAAAAAGACAUAGCGAGCAGAUUCCUUUAAAACUGGUAGGAAUGGAUACGAUUGAUGACGUUGAUAAAUAGUGGUGAAUGUUGGCCUAAUUUACUAUCAUCAUGCAUGGAAACGAAUCAUCAAGAAAAAGAAUACUUCCUAUUACUACACUCAUAGGAAGCUUCCUAAUCUCUGCUACCAAACAGUUUCUGCCCAAACAAGGAAGGAAAGUUAUGGAUGUGAUUCGGAAGGAAACAAACGUUAUGAAGAUUAAUUAAUUUAGAUUUGAUCUUUAGAGAUUGAUUGUGAUUGAUUCUUUUACAUAAAGAAAUUACUAAAUAAUUUGUGUCAGUAUGGAAAGUUCUGAUCCGUUUAGUUUUUUUCGUUGUGUGAGAGGGUGAAGUGAAAAUAAACCGAUGAAGUGGGGGAGGCGACGAAAAAAAUCUACGACGGUUAACCUACGAAAAAAAACCGGACGGAAGUGGUGGGACGAAAAAAAACCUGGAAGCGAGACUACCAACUGCUCCAUUAAGAAUAGAAAUUAAUUUAGAGUUUUCCUCUUAUAUGAACAAGUAACUGCACAUCUGGUUUUCUUAUGCUGUAAAACACCAUCGAAGCGACCACGAUACUCGCUUGAAAUAGGUCAUCAUAAAUAUUGUUAGGGUACGUCCAAAUUUCAAAGUCAAAAGAAAUAUUCAGUGUAACCUUAUUUCUGAUGUUUCAAAUAAUUGGAUUAAAAACUGUUGCAUAAUGGCACUAGAGCAGGUUAUAUUUAUUUUUUCUCCCGGGCAUUUCUACUAGUACCCAACUAAAACGCCCUCGUUCUCCGAGACUCCCGCAGUCUCCUGAGUCCUGAUCCUCUCCCAAAAACAAACCCACCCUCGUUCUCCAAAACGGAUCGAAGGUCCAUCGUCGCCUGCUUCCGCUCCGAUGGGUGCCAGGCGUCCGUUUGCUUCCACUCUGACGGGUGCCCCAGGCGUUCCUCUGCUUCCUCUGGGAUGGCGGAUCAGUCGGCAUGCAACGUUCACAGUGGGGCGCCAAGAAUUAGAUGGACAAGUCAUCUGUGAAGCAGCAGGUAGAAGGCUACCUGGCAGUGCCUCCAGGGAUUCGCUGUACAAUACAUGUCACCACAGCUAUGUCGAUGAAGACUCAAAGUGAUGCUUUCAUUAUAUCACUUGCCAAGUUUACAUCACUUCACUCUGCUGCGUAUGUAUAGCAGAAAAUUAUUGAAGUAUUUAAGGUCCGUUCUUUGUAUCUUGUAUGAAUAAUCUCUUGUAGGUUAAUUGGCUUGCAGCAAGGUUGAAACCCCACUCUGUAGUUUCUCUUCAGAUCUUGCAGUAGCAAAGCAAGGGAAUGUGAUGCAAGACUGGAGAGUGGCAAAGUGGCAGAUGACAUCUAUGUGGAGGGUGAUGAUGAUCCAUGUGGCAAUGAGCAAUAUGAUAACUAGGGCGAUGACGGUGAUGAACUCGACGUUCUCUUCAAGUAAUGCAACAAAGAGAAGUUCUAAAGUUUGUGGAAAAUUUAGCUUAUGUAAAAUCUUUGUACAAGUUACUACUUUGUUUUGUAUUUGACAAUUUUAAGAUGGAUCAUAAUGGUCAAUGUAAUUUGGAUGCAACUAAUUAGGCCUAUGAUACUUUCCGAGGUUAUCCUAAAUAAAUAUAUAUUAUGGUCUUUUGUGAUG
Non-coding RNA from Triticum urartu, 1730 nucleotides. Lineage: Eukaryota; Viridiplantae; Streptophyta; Magnoliopsida; Poales; Poaceae. The record is from RefSeq and is a predicted model, not a curated record.